RNAcentral lists this ribosomal RNA (484 nucleotides) under Escherichia coli. Its description in RNAcentral is "partial 23S ribosomal RNA". It matches the Rfam family "Bacterial large subunit ribosomal RNA", at positions 1 to 524 of the family's 2925-position model. The record is from RNAcentral. Lineage: Bacteria; Pseudomonadati; Pseudomonadota; Gammaproteobacteria; Enterobacterales; Enterobacteriaceae. RNAcentral also lists the same sequence under 1 other name.
GGUUAAGCGACUAAGCGUACACGGUGGAUGCCCUGGCAGUCAGAGGCGAUGAAGGACGUGCUAAUCUGCGAUAAGCGUCGGUAAGGUGAUAUGAACCGUUAUAACCGGCGAUUUCCGAAUGGGGAAACCCAGUGUGAUUCGUCACACUAUCAUUAACUGAAUCCAUAGGUUAAUGAGGCGAACCGGGGGAACUGAAACAUCUAAGUACCCCGAGGAAAAGAAAUCAACCGAGAUUCCCCCAGUAGCGGCGAGCGAACGGGGAGCAGCCCAGAGCCUGAAUCAGUGUGUGUGUUAGUGGAAGCGUCUGGAAAGGCGUGCGAUACAGGGUGACAGCCCCGUACACAAAAAUGCACAUAUUGUGAGCUCGAUGAGUAGGGCGGGACACGUGGUAUCCUGUCUGAAUAUGGGGGGACCAUCCUCCAAGGCUAAAUACUCCUGACUGACCGAUAGUGAACCAGUACCGUGAGGGAAAGGCGAAAAGAAC